GGUGAACGCUGGCGGCGUGCCUAACACAUGCAAGUCGAGCGAACAGACGAUGAGCUUGCGCCUUCGACGUUAGCGGGUGACGGGUGGGUAAGACGUAGGUCACCUUCCUAUAAGACUGGGGGAACUUCGGGGAACCGGAUCCACUAACGGAGAAUAUUUCGUACCGCAGGGUUCGGUAGUUCAUGGUGGCUUUGCUAACACUUAGAGAUGGACCUGGGCCGGAUUAGCGAGUUGGUAAGGUAACGGCAUACCAAGGCAACGAUCCGUAGCCGAACUGAGAGGGUGAUCAGCCACACUGGAACUGAGACACGGUCCAGACUCCUACGGGAGGCAGCAGUAGGGAAUCUUCCGCAAUGGGCGAAAGCCUGACGGAGCAACACCGCGUGAGUGAUGAAGGUCUUCGGAUCGUAAAGCUCUGUUAUUAGGAAAGAACAACAGUGUAAGAAACCGUGCCCGUCCUGACGGUACCCAAACAAAAAGCCACGGCUAACUUCGUG
Molecule: ribosomal RNA, 497 nt
Filed under: uncultured bacterium
Lineage: Bacteria
Description: partial 16S ribosomal RNA
Rfam family: Bacterial small subunit ribosomal RNA
Source: RNAcentral